This 1242-nucleotide ribosomal RNA is filed under the name uncultured Acinetobacter sp. RNAcentral's name for it is "bacterial SSU rRNA". It matches the Rfam family "Bacterial small subunit ribosomal RNA", at positions 77 to 1314 of the family's 1533-position model. Lineage: Bacteria; Pseudomonadati; Pseudomonadota; Gammaproteobacteria; Moraxellales; Moraxellaceae. The record is from RNAcentral.
AGCUUGCUACCUGACCUAGCGGCGGACGGGUGAGUAAUGCUUAGGAAUCUGCCUAUUAGUGGGGGACAACAUUCCGAAAGGAAUGCUAAUACCGCAUACGCCCUACGGGGGAAAGCAGGGGAUCUUCGGACCUUGCGCUAAUAGAUGAGCCUAAGUCAGAUUAGCUAGUUGGUGGGGUAAAGGCCUACCAAGGCGACGAUCUGUAGCGGGUCUGAGAGGAUGAUCCGCCACACUGGGACUGAGACACGGCCCAGACUCCUACGGGAGGCAGCAGUGGGGAAUAUUGGACAAUGGGCGAAAGCCUGAUCCAGCCAUGCCGCGUGUGUGAAGAAGGCCUUUUGGUUGUAAAGCACUUUAAGCGAGGAGGAGGCUACUUGGAUUAAUACUCUAGGAUAGUGGACGUUACUCGCAGAAUAAGCACCGGCUAACUCUGUGCCAGCAGCCGCGGUAAUACAGAGGGUGCGAGCGUUAAUCGGAUUUACUGGGCGUAAAGCGUGCGUAGGCGGCUUCUUAAGUCGGAUGUGAAAUCCCUGAGCUUAACUUAGGAAUUGCAUUCGAUACUGGGAAGCUAGAGUAUGGGAGAGGAUGGUAGAAUUCCAGGUGUAGCGGUGAAAUGCGUAGAGAUCUGGAGGAAUACCGAUGGCGAAGGCAGCCAUCUGGCCUAAUACUGACGCUGAGGUACGAAAGCAUGGGGAGCAAACAGGAUUAGAUACCCUGGUAGUCCAUGCCGUAAACGAUGUCUACUAGCCGUUGGGGCCUUUGAGGCUUUAGUGGCGCAGCUAACGCGAUAAGUAGACCGCCUGGGGAGUACGGUCGCAAGACUAAAACUCAAAUGAAUUGACGGGGGCCCGCACAAGCGGUGGAGCAUGUGGUUUAAUUCGAUGCAACGCGAAGAACCUUACCUGGUCUUGACAUAGUAAGAACUUUCCAGAGAUGGAUUGGUGCCUUCGGGAACUUACAUACAGGUGCUGCAUGGCUGUCGUCAGCUCGUGUCGUGAGAUGUUGGGUUAAGUCCCGCAACGAGCGCAACCCUUUUCCUUAUUUGCCAGCGGGUUAAGCCGGGAACUUUAAGGAUACUGCCAGUGACAAACUGGAGGAAGGCGGGGACGACGUCAAGUCAUCAUGGCCCUUACGACCAGGGCUACACACGUGCUACAAUGGUCGGUACAAAGGGUUGCUACCUAGCGAUAGGAUGCUAAUCUCAAAAAGCCGAUCGUAGUCCGGAUUGGAGUCUGCAACUCG